RNAcentral lists this ribosomal RNA (253 nucleotides) under uncultured bacterium. Its description in RNAcentral is "partial 16S ribosomal RNA". It matches the Rfam family "Bacterial small subunit ribosomal RNA", at positions 524 to 776 of the family's 1533-position model. The record is from RNAcentral.
GACGAACCGUGCGAACGUUGUUCGGAAUCACUGGGCUUAAAGGGCGCGUAGGCGGACCACCAAGUCCGGGGUGAAAUCUUUCGGCUUAACCGGAAAACAGCCUUGGAUACUGGUGGUCUCGAGUGAGGUAGGGGCCGUUGGAACUUCCGGUGGAGCGGUGAAAUGCGUUGAUAUCGGAAGGAACGCCGGUGGCGAAAGCGGUCUCCUGGGGCACACUUGACGCUGAGACGCGAAAGCUGGGGGAGCGAACGGG